Trichomycterus rosablanca is the source of this 1979-nucleotide long non-coding RNA. RefSeq lists it as uncharacterized. Lineage: Eukaryota; Metazoa; Chordata; Actinopteri; Siluriformes; Trichomycteridae. The record is from RefSeq and is a predicted model, not a curated record. The transcript is spliced from 5 exons.
GUACAUUAUUUUUCCAGUGCUUGUCGAUUCACUAAAAUCAUGUCACAGAUGAAGGAACACAAGCAGGUUCAUGUCUCGGUGAAACAUUUGUCAGAGACCCUUGAAGCAUAUCCAUGUACUAAGUGUGGUGGCUUUCACUGUCCUUUGUGUCCAAGAAACAAAAUCAAAUUUGAUAAAUGUGAUGUUAAAUUGACUGGCCAUCUUCAGUCUCACCUGUCCUGGGUAGUUUUGCAUGGACAAUGCAGGAUAUUUAAAUGCCACCUCAUCUGCCGUGAUAAGUCACACUAUCACUGUCCUAGCUGUGCCCAGACGGUUAUUAGAAGGACAGAUUUUUUAAAACACAUCCUUAAACAUGAGACUGAAAACCUGCCACAGACGAGCCCAAAUCAAGAAAAGACUGGACUGCCACAGACAAGCCCAAAUCAAGAAAAGACUGGACUGCCACAGACGAGCCCAAAUCAAGAAAAGACUGGACUGCCACAGACAAGCCCAAAUCAAGAAAAGACUGGACUGCCACAGACAAGCCCAAAUCAAGAAAAGACUGGACUGCCACAGACAAGCCCAAAGCAAGAAAAGACUGGACUGCCACAGACAAGCCCAAAGCAAGAAAAGACUGGACUGCCACAGACAAGCCCAAAGCAAGAAAAGACUGGACUGCCACAGACAAGCCCAAAGCAAGAAAAGACUGGACUGCCACAGACAAGCCCAAAUCAAGAAAAGACUGACUGGCAUUCUCCUGUUGAUAAUCAGGAUUGUGCACUGAAAUCGAAACCUUUAAAAAGAAAGUUGAAUUUAGUCACAUGCCCACAUUGCAAUAUCUCGUUUAAUAUCGUUUAAAAGAAGCAACAGAUAAAGGUGCUCCUCUUGCUGUGGCUGUUCAUAUUGCACCACCUAAAAAGCAUUGUGUAUCCAUCCUCGAAAACAAAGUGUCACACUACAGCAGACUGGGCCGAGUACUGGUAACGUAUGAUGCUCUGAGAAACAGCCGGCAUUGCCCCUGUGUCAGUGGACGGAUGUCCUGUCCACAUAAGUACAUAGCAAAGUGGUUUCUCUUCCAAACAGACAGACACCUUUUUAGAUCUGUUAAAUCGACUGAACUCAUUGACAUUUUGGACCAACGUCAACAGAGGGACAAACAGGAGGAGGAAGAAGAAAAACACUUUGACUGGAUUAGAAAGCAACAGUUGCAAAGAACACUACAGUACACACUUCAUAAAAAGCAACACCCAGCUGACUUGCCACAGAAUGUUUGCAAAGCAUCAUUUGAUACCGCCCCGCUAAAACAUUUAUUUCCUUCAGAGAAUUUUUGCUGUGAAUGCAACUCCCUCAUGAAUGCAAAAUUCCUCUCAGUGACCCCAUCCAUAUUACUUCAAAGGCAAAGAUUGUAAAUUUAACCUGUGUUUAUGAAGGAAUCAGUACAUAUUACAAGAAUUGCUUGAACUGUGGAAUGAAGCACCGUUACCAAGACUGGGAUCAGGGAAUACACAAUUUGGACAAUUACAUCCUAAUGGGCCUUCAUUUCUGUUUAUAUCUAAGGGCUUCACUACGGACUCAUCAUGCACUAGGCAGAGUGUUUGAAACAAUUGAAGAUUCCUCCAGCAUCAAGCUACCUCGACACAACCGACUGCUUCAUGGUUACUUGUUUUUUGAAGCAUUGACAAGUCAUGAGUAUAAUUUUUCAUGCAUUGAUUGUGGAAUCCACCCACCGGUUGUGAUUAUGGACCUGCAUAAAAAGGGGGUAAACAAAUGGUACUUAACUUAACUGUACUUUAAAUGUAAUUUGUACCUUAACACCAGUAUGUCAUUACUUUUCACAGUGGGUAUAUAUACAUAUAUACAUAUAUAUAUAUAUAUAUAUAUAUAUAUAUAUAUAUAUAUAUAUAUAUAUAUAUAUAUAUACACACACACUAUUGAAACAUGUCUGUGAAUAUUGGAACAUGUUGCAGGUUUUGAAGCCUAAGCCUAACCAAAGUGUUAAA